AGUAGGGCGGGACACGUGGUAUCCUGUCUGAAUAUGGGGGGACCAUCCUCCAAGGCUAAAUACUCCUGACUGACCGAUAGUGAACCAGUACCGUGAGGGAAAGGCGAAAAGAACCCCGGCGAGGGGAGUGAAAAAGAACCUGAAACCGUGUACGUACAAGCAGUGGGAGCACAGAGCAAUCUGUGUGACUGCGUACCUUUUGUAUAAUGGGUCAGCGACUUAUAUUCUGUAGCAAGGUUAACCGAAUAGGGGAGCCGAAGGGAAACCGAGUCUUAACCGGGCGUUAAGUUGCAGGGUAUAGACCCGAAACCCGGUGAUCUAGCCAUGGGCAGGUUGAAGGUUGGGUAACACUAACUGGAGGACCGAACCGACUAAUGUUGAAAAAUUAGCGGAUGACUUGUGGCUGGGGGUGAAAGGCCAAUCAAACCGGGAGAUAGCUGGUUCUCCCCGAAAGCUAUUUAGGUAGCGCCUCGUGAAUUCAUCUCCGGGGGUAGAGCACUGUUUCGGCAAGGGGGUCAUCCCGACUUACCAACCCGAUGCAAACUGCGAAUACCGGAGAAUGUUAUCACGGGAGACACACGGCGGGUGCUAACGUCCGUCGUGAAGAGGGAAACAACCCAGACCGCCAGCUAAGGUCCCAAAGUCAUGGUUAAGUGGGAAACGAUGUGGGAAGGCCCAGACAGCCAGGAUGUUGGCUUAGAAGCAGCCAUCAUUUAAAGAAAGCGUAAUAGCUCACUGGUCGAGUCGGCCUGCGCGGAAGAUGUAACGGGGCUAAACCAUGCACCGAAGCUGCGGCAGCGACACUGUGUGUUGUUGGGUAGGGGAGCGUUCUGUAAGCCUGUGAAGGUGUGCUGUGAGGCAUGCUGGAGGUAUCAGAAGUGCGAAUGCUGACAUAAGUAACGAUAAAGCGGGUGAAAAGCCCGCUCGCCGGAAGACCAAGGGUUCCUGUCCAACGUUAAUCGGGGCAGGGUGAGUCGACCCCUAAGGCGAGGCCGAAAGGCGUAGUCGAUGGGAAACAGGUUAAUAUUCCUGUACUUGGUGUUACUGCGAAGGGGGGACGGAGAAGGCUAUGUUGGCCGGGCGACGGUUGUCCCGGUUUAAGCGUGUAGGCUGGUUUUCCAGGCAAAUCCGGAAAAUCAAGGCUGAGGCGUGAUGACGAGGCACUACGGUGCUGAAGCAACAAAUGCCCUGCUUCCAGGAAAAGCCUCUAAGCAUCAGGUAACAUCAAAUCGUACCCCAAACCGACACAGGUGGUCAGGUAGAGAAUACCAAGGCGCUUGAGAGAACUCGGGUGAAGGAACUAGGCAAAAUGGUGCCGUAACUUCGGGAGAAGGCACGCUGAUAUGUAGGUGAAGUCCCUCGCGGAUGGAGCUGAAAUCAGUCGAAGAUACCAGCUGGCUGCAACUGUUUAUUAAAAACACAGCACUGUGCAAACACGAAAGUGGACGUAUACGGUGUGACGCCUGCCCGGUGCCGGAAGGUUAAUUGAUGGGGUCAGCGCAAGCGAAGCUCUUGAUCGAAGCCCCGGUAAACGGCGGCCGUAACUAUAACGGUCCUAAGGUAGCGAAAUUCCUUGUCGGGUAAGUUCCGACCUGCACGAAUGGCGUAAUGAUGGCCAGGCUGUCUCCACCCGAGACUCAGUGAAAUUGAACUCGCUGUGAAGAUGCAGUGUACCCGCGGCAAGACGGAAAGACCCCGUGAACCUUUACUAUAGCUUGACACUGAACAUUGAGCCUUGAUGUGUAGGAUAGGUGGGAGGCUUUGAAGUGUGGACGCCAGUCUGCAUGGAGCCGACCUUGAAAUACCACCCUUUAAUGUUUGAUGUUCUAACGUGGACCCGUGAUCCGGGUUGCGGACAGUGUCUGGUGGGUAGUUUGACUGGGGCGGUCUCCUCCUAAAGAGUAACGGAGGAGCACGAAGGUUGGCUAAUCCUGGUCGGACAUCAGGAGGUUAGUGCAAUGGCAUAAGCCAGCUUGACUGCGAGCGUGACGGCGCGAGCAGGUGCGAAAGCAGGUCAUAGUGAUCCGGUGGUUCUGAAUGGAAGGGCCAUCGCUCAACGGAUAAAAGGUACUCCGGGGAUAACAGGCUGAUACCGCCCAAGAGUUCAUAUCGACGGCGGUGUUUGGCACCUCGAUGUCGGCUCAUCACAUCCUGGGGCUGAAGUAGGUCCCAAGGGUAUGGCUGUUCGCCAUUUAAAGUGGUACGCGAGCUGGGUUUAGAACGUCGUGAGACAGUUCGGUCCCUAUCUGCCGUGGGCGCUGGAGAACUGAGGGGGGCUGCUCCUAGUACGAGAGGACCGGAGUGGACGCAUCACUGGUGUUCGGGUUGUCAUGCCAAUGGCACUGCCCGGUAGCUAAAUGCGGAAGAGAUAAGUGCUGAAAGCAUCUAAGCACGAAACUUGCCCCGAGAUGAGUUCUCCCUGACCCUUUAAGGGUCCUGAAGGAACGUUGAAGACGACGACGUUGAUAGGCCGGGUGUGUAAGCGCAGCGAUGCGUUGAGCUAACCGGUACUAAUGAACCGUGAGGCUUAACCUUACAACGCCGAAGGUGUUU
RNAcentral lists this ribosomal RNA (2553 nucleotides) under Escherichia coli. Its description in RNAcentral is "partial 23S ribosomal RNA". It matches the Rfam family "Bacterial large subunit ribosomal RNA", at positions 411 to 2925 of the family's 2925-position model. Lineage: Bacteria; Pseudomonadati; Pseudomonadota; Gammaproteobacteria; Enterobacterales; Enterobacteriaceae. The record is from RNAcentral.